Molecule: long non-coding RNA, 1314 nt
Organism: Heterocephalus glaber (naked mole-rat)
Lineage: Eukaryota; Metazoa; Chordata; Mammalia; Rodentia; Bathyergidae
Source: Ensembl
GCCAGACUGAAUUAUCAGGAAGACUAGAAAAUGCCACUGGUCAGUCUUGGCAUUGGUGUAAGACCGAGAGGAAAGCUCCUUGAUUGGAUCUUGGCUCUGUUGUGCACGCCUUGCCCAUGUGUUACUGGACCAGAGCAGGCUGAGCUUCACAUUCCUCAUCUGUGAAACAGAGCAUGAGCCUUUUUUGAGAAAACUAAAUGAGAUGGUGAUAUUACUGUAGCCAAGGAAAUGUCUGGCACACGGACCUAGGAAGAAGUGGAUUUUUGGGAGAGGCUGUGACACCAGGAAAGGGUUAUAACACGCCGGUGACGUGAUGAGCGGGCAAACCCCGGGAGACCCUUGCCAGGUGUGACUGAAUACGUGAAGAAAGUCGGGAGCAAAUGAAAGACCAGGCUUUGUGAAUUCAGUGAUACUUCCUGCACCAUAGACUCUGGAAUCUAAACCAGUUUCUCCCAUGUGGUUCAUGAAUUUCUGCAUAAAAGCUUUGAAAACAUUUCCCAAAAGUCCCCAGGAGCUUUCAUAACCACUAAUUGGCCUCUACUUUUUGGAAGUUUGGUGAUCUAGAAAGUUGGAAUGGAAACUGCCGUCCUGCUAUAAAACACCAAGGAUCCUGGGUAAAAUAGAACACUUUAAAAAUACUGUUGACCUUGCAAGACCUUGAAGAAAAUCCACAUGUUGCAAGAACAAAGAGGAAGGCAAAAUCCAGAGCAUGAAACCUACAAAUUCAGCCACAAACAGUAGCUGCCUUCAGGGAUACCAGGACCCUCCCCUGUGGGUUCUAACUCCCAAGCAAGGACCAGACCACUCAGAUACCUUGUGGACAUUUCGAAAAGGCACUCCACCCCAGUCCUUACCGGUUAAAAGGGGACUCUCAAGAAAGGGGGCCCUCCAUGCUUACUUGCCAGGGACUGUCCUCUCUGUGCUUGGAGUCUUUUCAUGACUAUUAAUAGCACUUGGUUCCCCUUCAGAAAUAUGUAGAUUAGAACGACAAAUUACAUUUCCCUCUGUUCAAAGGCUACUUAGUAAAAGGAUGGGCAAGGAAACAAAAAUAGCUUCCAGCAGCCACAGAGUCAAGGCAUGCCAUUUCCACUUUGUGUUGCACAGGGAUAAAAAAGAUUUUAAGUUAAUAAAAGCAUGCCCUCUAAAAGUUAAUAAAGAUGAGCCCUUCUUCCACAUGGGGUCAAAACACUGUAUGAGUAUCUGUCUGUAUAUAUUGUAUUUAAAAGCUGGAAAACUGAAGAGAGAAAAAUCACUCAUACUUUCUCAAUCCAAAUAAAACACCAUUAUCUUUUCUUUAUUCCUUUUUCAGAUUAG